GAUGAACGCUGGCGGCGUGCCUAAUACAUGCAAGUCGAGCGAACAGAUGAGGAGCUUGCUCCUCUGACGUUAGCGUCGGACGGGUGAGUAACACGUGGAUAACCUACCUAUAAGACUGGGAUAACUUCGGGAAACCGGAGCUAAUACCGGAUAAUAUAUUGAACCGCAUGGUUCAAUAGUGAAAGACGGUUUUGCUGUCACUUAUAGAUGGAUCCGCGCCGCAUUAGCUAGUUGGUAAGGUAACGGCUUACCAAGGCAACGAUGCGUAGCCGACCUGAGAGGGUGAUCGGCCACACUGGAACUGAGACACGGUCCAGACUCCUACGGGAGGCAGCAGUAGGGAAUCUUCCGCAAUGGGCGAAAGCCUGACGGAGCAACGCCGCGUGAGUGAUGAAGGUCUUCGGAUCGUAAAACUCUGUUAUUAGGGAAGAACAAAUGUGUAAGUAACUAUGCACGUCUUGACGGUACCUAAUCAGAAGGCCACGGCUAACUACGUG
RNAcentral lists this ribosomal RNA (497 nucleotides) under uncultured bacterium. RNAcentral describes it as "partial 16S ribosomal RNA". It matches the Rfam family "Bacterial small subunit ribosomal RNA", at positions 28 to 507 of the family's 1533-position model. The record is from RNAcentral.